RNAcentral lists this ribosomal RNA (338 nucleotides) under uncultured Streptococcus sp. Its description in RNAcentral is "bacterial SSU rRNA". It matches the Rfam family "Bacterial small subunit ribosomal RNA", at positions 1042 to 1382 of the family's 1533-position model. The record is from RNAcentral. Lineage: Bacteria; Bacillati; Bacillota; Bacilli; Lactobacillales; Streptococcaceae.
UGCAUGGUUGUCGUCAGCUCGUGUCGUGAGAUGUUGGUUAAGUCCCGCAACGAGCGCAACCCCUAUUGUUAGUUGCCAUCAUUCAGUUGGGCACUCUAGCGAGACUGCCGGUAAUAAACCGGAGGAAGGUGGGGAUGACGUCAAAUCAUCAUGCCCCGUAUGACCUGGGCUACACACGUGCUACAAUGGUUGGUACAACGAGUUGCGAGUCGGUGACGGCGAGCUAAUCUCUUAAAGCCAAUCUCAGUUCGGAUUGUAGGCUGCAACUCGCCUACAUGAAGUCGGAAUCGCUAGUAAUCGCGGAUCAGCACGCCGCGGUGAAUACGUUCCCGGGCCUU